Molecule: ribosomal RNA, 236 nt
Filed under: uncultured bacterium
Lineage: Bacteria
Description: partial 16S ribosomal RNA
Rfam family: Bacterial small subunit ribosomal RNA
Source: RNAcentral
CGGGGUAGGAGUAACGCGUGAGGAACCUGCCUCAAAGAGGGGGACAACAGUUGGAAACGACUGCUAAUACCGCAUAAGCCCACGGCUCGGCAUCGAGCAGAGGGAAAAGGAGUGAUCCGCUUUGAGAUGGCCUCGCGUCCGAUUAGCUAGUUGGUGAGGUAACGGCCCACCAAGGCGACGAUCGGUAGCCGGACUGAGAGGUUGAACGGCCACAUUGGGACUGAGACACGGCCCAG